This 253-nucleotide ribosomal RNA is filed under the name uncultured bacterium. Its description in RNAcentral is "partial 16S ribosomal RNA". It matches the Rfam family "Bacterial small subunit ribosomal RNA", at positions 524 to 776 of the family's 1533-position model. The record is from RNAcentral.
AACGUAGGAGACAAGCGUUAUCCGGAGUUACUGGGCGUAAAGGGCGUGCAGGCGGAGGACUAAGUUCGGUGUGAAAGCGCCUGGCUCAACUGGGCGAGGCCACCGGCGACUGGUGCUCUAGAGGACGGCAGAGGGGUGUGGAAUUCCGGGUGUAGUGGUGAAAUGCGUAGAGAUCCGGAGGAACACCAGAGGCGAAGGCGACACUCUAGGCCGUACCUGACGCUGAGACGCGACAGCACGGGGAGCAAACGGG